GUUUUCGGUUAACACUAUUGUUGUGAAAUAAAUCUAGACAUCAUCAAACCUACAGAAAGAUCCUGCGAGAGGAGAUGUUGUGGUGGAGACGUCCGGUUAAUCAAACCUGAUGUUCAGUCAGAGAUCUGAUGUUGAUGGUUUCAUGCUGGAUUCUGUUUUAAUAGCAGAUUUGGUCACAUUACAUGCUGCAUUCACUCACCCACACAUCAAAGGCACAGCUUUAGGAGCAGUGUGGGUUUAGUAUCUUGCCAGAAGACACUACGACAUGAUGAAGACUGCAGAAUCUGGGAGCUGCCGAUCUUCCAACCAGUGGACGACUCGCUUUUCCUUUGAACCACGGCUGCUGUUAUCCUCCUUUUUUUUACACUUGCAAAUAAAAAUUCAUCUUAGAAGAGUGGGAAGGGAAAAACCA
Long non-coding RNA from Notolabrus celidotus (New Zealand spotty), 412 nucleotides. RefSeq lists it as uncharacterized. The transcript is spliced from 3 exons. NCBI's taxonomy places the organism in Eukaryota, Metazoa, Chordata, Actinopteri, Labriformes, Labridae. The record is from RefSeq and is a predicted model, not a curated record.